This is a long non-coding RNA of Ictalurus punctatus (channel catfish), 3788 nucleotides long. NCBI's taxonomy places the organism in Eukaryota, Metazoa, Chordata, Actinopteri, Siluriformes, Ictaluridae. The record is from Ensembl.
CCUGUCUUUGUCCUCUGCAUUAACGGCAGGUCUCAAAGAUUAGCUAAUCAUUAUAAUGAUAGCCUUAUUAAGUACAAUUACAGAGGCGGAACAGUAGUUAAUGUAUAUUGGCUCACAGUGGGGCCAGGAAGGCUGAGACUCCUGUAAAAAAGCCACUCAUGCAGACACAUUCAAAAAAGAGUGACACUUUAGCUGAUGAUGUCACCAAGGCAAACAAUACAGCGGGAUGAAAUGAAGCUUGUGUUCCAGACAAUGUUGGCCUGUAUCCAUGGCAAAUCACAAGUGGCUUUAACUUUCCCAGACGUGAACAGCAAAGCUGGAAGUCACACAAGCUUACUGACAUCCAGACACAAGACAAAUGAACAGAUGAAUAAAUAAACAUAUGAAGCAAGUGGGAUUAAACACUAAAGUCUACAUUUUUUUUGGAUGGACAGAUCACAGACGUACAGACAUGCAUGGCUGAAACAAAAUACAAAGAGACUCAAUAAAAUGAGCUUGGAUCCUCAUCAACAGCCGGAAUACUUUACAGAGGCCUUCUGCCCAAACUCCCUCCCUCCUCUUCCCAGCUCUCCUCUCUUCCCCUCCCUCUCUUCCUGCUCUUAUCCCCUCAGAGAUAGUGAGAGCCGUCAGAUGUGGUUUGUCCUGACGGCUGACGGAUCGGCCAAAGACACUCGUCUCUGGGCACUCCUCUAUAUAUUGUUAAUUUAAUGCAUGAUGACGUGGCCAAUUAUGGAGUGGCCGCACGCUCAAAUAGCAUGUCAAAACCUGUGUAUCAAUCUAUUAGAUCCUGUCUCCUCAUGGCAUUAGCAGGCACCUUAAAGCAGCUCUGGGGUUCACCGAGGGAGAGAAAGUGCUUAGCUCAUGGGGAUCCUGCCUCAGAUCUCAUCCAGGCCUUUUAGAGAAUAAAAAAAUACAUCCACUAACAAGAACGGCGUGCAGGUGCAUACAUGCCUGCGAGUAUGUUAGGAGCCGUGAACGCUGAAAGGGGCCGAGUGUUUCUGACGCCUGUCGGCCUGGGCCUGUCACAGCGGAUCAGGAAGGUGUCAUCAGCGCAGGGCCGAGCGCCUGAGCCCAUCAGCCAGCCGGACCUGAGCACCUGAUGAGCUGACAGCCAGCGCAGUGUGUUUCUCAGGCCUCCUGGAGAGACACACACACCUCCUGGAGAAACACAUACAGCUCAUCUAAGCCCUAGCUGUCUGUCUGUCUGUCUAACUGCGGGAUUCGCUCAGUGUAAUGCACAUCCGAAGCUAACUAUGGCCCACCAACUGUCUGUCCAUCUGUCUAUCCAGGAGUAUGGGAUUCAACUGCUUCAGAAUGUACAUUUCUGGACAAGUCUGUUUUGGGAAGUGCAUGUUCAUGUACUAUAGACUUAUGUGCUUAAUUUCCAUUCCUGCUGCGUCUUUUAGUAGAGUGCAGAAAGUGCAUUUUUGAAUUUGUAUUACACUGUCAUGUACUUUAUGUUAAACUUAUAUUAACAGAAUUUAACAACUGCCCUUAGACUUCCAUUAUAAAUACAAUAGAACAGCUUUUAAUGUUUCAGUCCAAAGCUGUUCAGUACAAGGAAAUGUGUUUUGUAGUAUUCACAUAUCUGCUACUGUUACUGAAGACAGAGACAAGUUGAAACACAGAAAGAAGUUAAAAAUAUUGGAGUAUUUCUUUAACUAUAAUAUUAAAAAAGCUUGAGGGAACUGCAAUUGACACAACUGCUGAACUGUGUACAAUGCUGAAGCAAAUGUCAUGUACACUACAUAGGGUGACUACUAAUAAUAAUAAUACUAAUCACAAUGGCUAUAGUCCAUUUCUUCAAAAAUCUUCAUUUAAAAAAAAAAAAGAUCACAAAGCUCUUUAAACAUUUCCUGCCCCAUUUGUGUUCUCAAGGGUCUUUGUCAAAACUGACAUUACCCACAAUGCUCAGUGGUGCUGCCUGCUCUGACUGUCUGUAUCAUGCUCAUUUUCUGCCUGAGAAUAAAUAUUAGAAUAAAUCACACCAAAGAGUAGCUGGUCAGUCCUUCUGUUCCCCGUCUGCUCAGGUUGCCACAGUAGUUGACUGACAGAUCAACCGAAAGAGGGGAGUUGGAUUAGACCUGGUGAUGGGGUGAGAAAUCAAGAACUAGGGCCUCUCUUUUUCUCUCUGUCUGUAUUAUUUUAAUUUUUUUUAUCAAAUAAAUUUUGCCCGGGGAGGGAUGAGUGUCACCAUACAGCAAAGACGGAUUGAGAGAGCCGUUCAGAGAUUAUUGAUGCCCACCAAUAAAUCAGAUUUUUAAUUAUCAGACACAUGACAAGAAGCAGUGACAGCGUCCCCCCAGAGUUCACAGUAGAAUACUCUGUCAGCACAGCUCAGAAACAGAAACCACAAAUGACACUGUAUCAGCAGGAAUAGCAGCAUCAUAACAUGUAGCACGCCUUCAGCUCGUCACAUACACAUUCACUGCGUUUUAUUACCACCACUGUUAUUUAUGUCUGAACCAUAGUUUUAUAUUUUCUAUUAAUAUACUAUAUUGUUAUUUUAUUCAAUGCUGCAUAAUAUUGCGUAAUUAAGUCUAUAUAGUCUCUGUGUAGGAUUAUGACCAAUAUGAGCUGAUCAGCCAUAACAUUAAGACCACCUGUCUAAUAUUGUAUAGGUUUCCUUUGUGCUGCCAAAACAGCUCUGACCUGUCGAGGUAUGGACUCCACAGUUCCUCUGAAGGUGUGCUGUGGUAUUUGGCACCAAGACAUUAGCAGCAGAUCCAUUGAGUCCUGUAAGUUGCAAGGUGGGGCCUCCAUGGAUUGGACUUGCUUGUCCAGCACAUCCCAUAGAUGCUUGAUCGGAUUGAAAUCUGGGGAAUUUGAAGGCCAAAUCAACACCUUGAACUCUUUGUCAUGUUCCUCUAACCAUUUCUGAGCAAUAUUUGCAGUUCAGUGUGGCAGGGUGCACAAAAGAGUCCACUGCCAUUAGGGAACACUGUUGUCAUGAAGUGGGGUACAUGGUCUGCAACAAUAUUUAGGUAGGUGGUACGUGUCAUAGUAACAUCCACAUAAAUGCCAGGACCCAAGGUUUCCCAGCAAAACAUUGCCCAGAGCAUCACACUGCCUCUGCUGGCUUGCCUUCUUCCCCAGAAGAAGGUAAAUGACGUUACCAGGUAAGUGAUGCACACGCACCAGGCCAUCCACAUGACGUAAAAGAACAUGUGAGUGAUCAAACUAGGCCACCUUCUUCCAUUGCUCCAUGGUCCAGUUCUGAUGAUCACAUGCCCCUUGUAGGUACUCUCAGUGGUGAACAGGGCUCAACAUGGGCACUCUGACUGGUCUGUGGCUACACAGCCUCAUACACAGCAGGCUGUGUGCACUGUCUGUUCUGACACCUUUCUAUCAUAGCCAGCAUUAACUUCUUCAGCAAUUUAUGCUACAGUAGCUCUUCUGUGAGAUUGGACCAGAUGUUUGCUCUCCACGUGCAUCAAUGAGCCUUGGGCACCCAUAACCCUGUUGCACGUUCACCAGUUGUUCUUCCUUGGACCACUUUUGGGAGGUAUUAUCCAUUGCAUACCGGGAACACCGCACAAGACCUGUUCUGACCCAGUCCUCUAGCCAUCACAAUUUAGCCCUUGUUCAGAUCCUUACGCUUGCCCAUUUUUCCCUGCUUCCAACAAAACAACUUCAAGAACUGACUGUUCACUUGCUGCCUAAUUAUAUCCCUAGAAAGGUGCCAUUGUAACAAGAUAGUCAAUGUUAUUCACUUCACCCGUCAGUGAUUUUAAUUUUAUGACCUUUUUUUUUUUAACAUUGUUUGCCUUUUAUUUGAUACAUGCAAC